RNAcentral lists this ribosomal RNA (433 nucleotides) under uncultured bacterium. Its description in RNAcentral is "partial 16S ribosomal RNA". It matches the Rfam family "Bacterial small subunit ribosomal RNA", at positions 29 to 507 of the family's 1533-position model. The record is from RNAcentral.
AACGAACGCUGGCGGCAUGCUUAACCCUUGCAAGUCGAACGAGGCCGUCGGCUCUAGUGGCGCUCGGGCGCGGGACGGGUGGGAAACUGCCCUGAGGUUCCGAAUAACUCCCCGAAAGGGGCCCUAAUCCCGGAUUAUGUCUUCGUACCAAAGAUGUAUCGCCUUUGGAUGUGCCCGCGUUGGAUUAGCUCGUUGGUAGCGUAAAAGCCUCCCAAGGCUACGAUGCUAAGCUGGUCUCAGAGGAUGAUCAGAGACACUGGCACUGAGACACGGCCCAGACUCCUACGGGAUGGAGCAGUGGGGAAUAUUGGACAGUAGCCGAUAGCCUGAUCCAGCAAUGCCGGGUGAGCGAUGAAGGCUGGAGGGUUGUAAAGCACUUUGACCCGUGAUGAUAGUGACGGUACCAUCAGAAUAAGCUCCGGCUAACUCCGUG